RNAcentral lists this ribosomal RNA (253 nucleotides) under uncultured bacterium. RNAcentral describes it as "partial 16S ribosomal RNA". It matches the Rfam family "Bacterial small subunit ribosomal RNA", at positions 524 to 776 of the family's 1533-position model. The record is from RNAcentral.
UACGUAGGGUGCGAGCGUUGUCCGGAAUUAUUGGGCGUAAAGAGCUCGUAGGCGGUUUGUCGCGUCGACUGUGAAAACCUACAGCUUAACUGUGGGCUUGCAGUCGAUACUGGCAGACUUGAGUUCGGUAGGGGAGACUGGAAUUCCUGGUGUAGCGGUGAAAUGCGCAGAUAUCAGGAGGAACACCGGUGGCGAAGGCGGGUCUCUGGGCCGAUACUGACGCUGAGGAGCGAAAGCGUGGGGAGCGAACAGG